Molecule: ribosomal RNA, 649 nt
Filed under: uncultured bacterium
Lineage: Bacteria
Description: bacterial SSU rRNA
Rfam family: Bacterial small subunit ribosomal RNA
Source: RNAcentral
AAGAAUGCGCUUCUAAUCAUGCAAGUCGAACGCAGCGGCCGAUGUGCCGGCUGCGUGGCGAACGGCUGAGGAACACGAUGGGUGACCACCCCCGGAGUGGGGGAUACCCCGUCGUCAGGACGGGACAAUCCCGCAUACGCUCUACGGAGGAAAGCCGCAACGGCGCUCCGGGACGGGCCUGCGGCCCAUCAGGUAGUUGGUGUGGUAACGGCGCACCAAGCCAGUGACGGUUACCCGGUCUGAGAGGACGGCCGGGCAGACUGGGACUGCGACACGGCCCAKACUCCUACGGGAGGCAGCAGCAAGGAAUUUUCCCCAAUGGGCGCAAGCCUGAGGGAGCAACGCCGCGUGGAGGACGACGGCCUUCGGGUUGUAAACUCCUUUCGGGUGGGACGAGCAUGACGGUACCACCAGAAGCAGCCCCGGCUAACUCUGUGCCAGCAGCCGCGGUAAGACAGAGGGGGCAAGCGUUGUCCGGAGUUACUGGGCGUAAAGGGCGCGGAGGCGGCCUGCUGCGUCGGCGCUGAAAGCGCCCCGCUUAACGGGGCGAGGCGCGCCGAUACGAGCAGGCUCGAGGCGAGCAGAGGGUGGUGGAAUUCCGGGUGGAGCGGUGAAAUGCGUAGAGAUCCGGAGGAACGCCGGUGGAGCA